This 254-nucleotide ribosomal RNA is filed under the name uncultured bacterium. RNAcentral's name for it is "partial 16S ribosomal RNA". It matches the Rfam family "Bacterial small subunit ribosomal RNA", at positions 524 to 776 of the family's 1533-position model. The record is from RNAcentral.
UACGUAGGGUGCGAGCGUUGUCCGGAAUUAUUGGGCGUAAAGAGCUCGUAGGCGGUGUGUCACGUCGGCCGUGAAAACCUGCAGCUUAACUGUGGGCGUGCGGUCGAUACGGGCAUCACUGGAGUUCGGCAGGGGAGACUGGAAUUCCUGGUGUAGCGGUGAAAUGCGUAGAUAUCAAGUGGAACACCAGUGGCGAAGGCGAGUCCCUGGACAAGACCUGACACUGAGGCACGAAAGCCAGGGGAGCAAACAGG